Molecule: non-coding RNA, 118 nt
Filed under: Clostridium sp. CAG:81
Lineage: Bacteria; Bacillati; Bacillota; Clostridia; Eubacteriales; Clostridiaceae
Also listed under: 1 other name
Description: SAM riboswitch aptamer (S box leader)
Rfam family: SAM riboswitch aptamer (S box leader)
About the family: The SAM riboswitch is found upstream of a number of genes which code for proteins involved in methionine or cysteine biosynthesis in Gram-positive bacteria. The SAM riboswitch acts at the level of transcription termination control. The predicted structure consists of a complex stem-loop region followed by a single stem loop terminator region.
Source: Rfam by way of RNAcentral
CCCUUAUUCAGAGUGAUGGAGGUACAUAGGACCGGUGAAGUCACGGCAACCCCUGUUAAUCGCAGACGCGAGAGGGCAGGAAGGUGCCAACCUGAGCGAGUAAAUCGAGCAAUAAGAG